GCGUGCCUAAACAUGCAAGUCGAACGAAAUAUCUUCGGAUAUUUAGUGGCGAACGGGUGAGUAAUGUACAGGUAAUGUACCUCCGACUGCGAAUAACAAGCUGAAAAGUUUGCUAAUACGGAAUAGUUUCCUCAGAGGGCAUCCUUAGAGGAAUAAAGAUUUAUCGUGCGGAGAUCAGCCUGUAUCCUAUUAGUUAGUUGGUGGGGUAAUGGCCUACCAAGACGACGAUGGGUAACUGGUCUGAGAGGAUGAGCAGUCACAUUGGAACUGAGAAACGGUCCAAACUCCUACGGGAGGCAGCAGUGAGGAAUUUUGCGCAAUGGGGGAAACCCUGACGCAGCAACGCCGCGUGAGUGAUGACGGCCUUCGGGUUGUAAAGCUCUGUCGUGUGUGACGAGUAGGGACGGUAACACACAAGGAAGCCUCGGCUAACUACGUGCCAGCAGCCGCGGUAAGACGUAGGGGGCAAGCGUUAUCCGGAAUCACUGGGCGUAAAGAGCUCGUAGGUGGAAAUGUAAGUUAUUGAAUUAAGCCCAAUGCUUAACAUUGGUUUAUUUGGUUAUACUGCAUAUCUU
RNAcentral lists this ribosomal RNA (575 nucleotides) under uncultured rumen bacterium. RNAcentral's name for it is "bacterial SSU rRNA". It matches the Rfam family "Bacterial small subunit ribosomal RNA", at positions 42 to 643 of the family's 1533-position model. The record is from RNAcentral.